AGCGAAUACAGAAACUGCGAGUGUGGCGAAAACCCCGCAGGCCAGCGUCAGCUGAACAGAGCUGUGUGUGAAGUCUCUCCACGCUCGCAUCAGCUCCAUCCUCCACAGGACUAAUGAACAUGGAGUCACGUCCCCCUCCUCACCUGCAUCUACAGGAGGAAGAGGAUCAUGAGGAGAGAGCAGAUUCAUGCAGGAGGAGAAUGGCGUAGUCGUACAUGGCGGUGGGAUCGACCAUCUGCAGGGCGCUUCUGGCAUACCACAUGACUGCUGCUCGAAUAUCUUUCUCCACCCCGUUACUGCCCCAUAGAAGCAUCCUGCCCAGAGAUUUCUACAAGAAAUACCAGCCCACAACAACGGUCCACUGGGACGCCCAGGCCAGCCAGGUGCAGGGUAGCGAGCAGGAGAGAGGAGUGCUGGUGACCCCAGCAGAAGGACACCUGAAGCUGCUUAAUAACACUGGACAUGAGAUCCAGACCACCAUCAGAUUCCUCUGCUUUAGAUAUUGUCUUUACAGCAUCCUGGAAAAUCACUCGGCCUAGACGUAGCAAAUGUCUGCUGCUGUUGCCAAGACCUGAAGAACAAAGCAGGAGGAACCUAUCCACCAGAAGUCAUCAUAGAUCACAUUUUAGAUGAUGAUAUUAAACCACUGCUACCUUUUAUGAGCUCCUGAUGCUCUUCUAGAAGCCUCAGGGUGAGGUUGAAUCUUCUUUGCAGGUCCCACGACCAAGUUUGAGUGCAUUUCCUAUGACCAAACUUCCUCUUAAGGCCUCCAUAAUAAGACUCACAAACAUCUGAGCACCAAAAACACAAAGUAUUUAGGAACUGUUCACCCAAAAAUAAUGUUUUGUUUACCUGUUUAAUCGUUUACAUACUGUACAUCUGUUGUCCCUGUAAUUUGAAGGGCCAAAACUCUCAAAUCUUGGUGCUUAGCACAUUUAAAUGGGGUGUACCAGGUUUGUUGCAAUUGAUACCAACUUCAAUCCAAUCACAAUAAAGUAUGUUUGAAAAAUA
Long non-coding RNA from Sinocyclocheilus grahami, 1011 nucleotides. Lineage: Eukaryota; Metazoa; Chordata; Actinopteri; Cypriniformes; Cyprinidae. The record is from Ensembl.